Molecule: small nuclear RNA, 23 nt
Filed under: Arabidopsis thaliana (thale cress)
Lineage: Eukaryota; Viridiplantae; Streptophyta; Magnoliopsida; Brassicales; Brassicaceae
Description: snRNA_05294
Source: RNAcentral
ACAUUUAUUCUAUUUGAUCCGCU